Molecule: ribosomal RNA, 451 nt
Filed under: uncultured bacterium
Lineage: Bacteria
Description: bacterial SSU rRNA
Rfam family: Bacterial small subunit ribosomal RNA
Source: RNAcentral
UUCCAGACUCCUACGGGAGGCAGCAGUGGGGAAUAUUGCACAAUGGGGGAAACCCUGAUGCAGCGACGCCGCGUGAGUGAAGAAGUAUCUCGGUAUGUAAAGCCCUAUCAGCAGGGAAGAAGAAAUGACGGUACCUGAGUAAGAAGCACCGGCUAAAUACGUGCCAGCAGCCGCGGUAAUACGUAUGGUGCAAGCGUUAUCCGGAUUUACUGGGUGUAAAGGGAGCGCAGGCGGCACGGCAAGCCUGAUGGGAAAGCCCGCGGCCCAACCGCGGGACUGCAUUGGGAACUACCGGGCUGGAGUGCCGGAGAGGUAGGCGGAAUUCCUAGUGUAGCGGUGAAAUGCGUAGAUAUUAGGAGGAACACCAGUGGCGAAGGCGGCCUACUGGACGGUGACUGACGCUGAGGCUCGAAAGCGUGGGGAGCAAACAGGAUUAGAUACCCCAGUAUGA